AGAACGUAGCGAAAUGCGAUACUUGGUGUGAAUUGCAGAAUCCCGUGAACCAUCGAGUUUUUGAACGCAAGUUGCGCCCAAAGCCAUUAGGCUAAGGGCACGUCUGCCUGGGCGUCACGCAUCACGUCGCCCCAACCCCAAUGCCUGGCUACCAGCNGGACGUUGCGGGAGCUGGGGC
This 178-nucleotide ribosomal RNA is filed under the name Ilex theizans. RNAcentral's name for it is "5.8S ribosomal RNA". The stretch from base 1 to 117 matches the Rfam family "5.8S ribosomal RNA", at positions 40 to 154 of the family's 154-position model. Rfam says of the family: 5.8S ribosomal RNA (5.8S rRNA) is a component of the large subunit of the eukaryotic ribosome. The record is from RNAcentral. Lineage: Eukaryota; Viridiplantae; Streptophyta; Magnoliopsida; Aquifoliales; Aquifoliaceae.